RNAcentral lists this long non-coding RNA (525 nucleotides) under Physcomitrium patens. RNAcentral's name for it is "long non-coding RNA (PPAT_LNC007262)". Lineage: Eukaryota; Viridiplantae; Streptophyta; Bryopsida; Funariales; Funariaceae. The record is from RNAcentral.
ACACAACUUUUAUUCAAAUCCAACUAGUAGAUUGCAAGAAAUCUUAGAAAUCCUUACUAGAUCUAAAAUUCUACUUUUUAAGACCCUGACCAACUUAAAUCUCAAUAAUCCUUAAUUCAAUUAUUAAACCAAGCUAAAAUUUACAACACAUAUUAAACACAACUAUAACCAUUAAUCCAAAAAAUUAUAUUUAUAGAUCUAUUAUAAAACUCCUGAAAUUAUCAAAAAUAUCAAUCUUAUUUUAUUUCACAAAAAUUCAAAUCAUCUAAAACAAUCUUGACUUUGUAAAGUUCUUACAAAGUCAUUACAAAUCCAAAUCAUACAAAACCAAUGCUUAUAGAAAUCCUAUCAAGUAUACUAUCAAAUUCCACUCUUUGAUCUUCAAAAGAAUCCUAGAAUCACCAUAGGUGUGUGGUUUUGUGCCUUAGGAUCUGAUUUCGACUUAGAUUGACAACUGGUCUUCUCCAAGUAUCAAUUCUUGGCUUCUUGAGGUAAAUUUUACUAAAAUCUACUCUUAACUCCCUC